AGAAAACUGGACUAAUUACUGAAUCUAGUUUUAGUUAGAUUGUUAAAAUGCCCUAUAUGUCUAGGAUUUCACUUAAUUUUUAAAACUAAUAUUGAAAGAGUAAAUUACAAUAUUAAAGCUAAAACUUUGCACAAUUUGACCUUCUGAGAUUACAACUUUCAUAGUAGUCACAUAAUUCAAAACUGGUACACAAGUAUAUUUGCAGAAAGUAGAUCUAUUAAACUAUGUAACUGAGAAC
This is a non-coding RNA of Pelobates cultripes (western spadefoot toad), 238 nucleotides long. The record is from the annotation of a GenBank genome assembly. Lineage: Eukaryota; Metazoa; Chordata; Amphibia; Anura; Pelobatidae.